Molecule: ribosomal RNA, 119 nt
Organism: Lepisosteus oculatus (spotted gar)
Lineage: Eukaryota; Metazoa; Chordata; Actinopteri; Semionotiformes; Lepisosteidae
Source: Ensembl
UAAAAUUGCCAUAUCACCCUGCAACUCACAACUGGCAACCCACUGAAGCUAAGCAGGUGUGAGCCUGGUCAGUAGCUGGAUGGGAGACCUUCUGGGAAAAACUAAGGUUGCUGCUGGAA